RNAcentral lists this ribosomal RNA (488 nucleotides) under uncultured Rhodothermaceae bacterium. RNAcentral describes it as "bacterial SSU rRNA". It matches the Rfam family "Bacterial small subunit ribosomal RNA", at positions 28 to 505 of the family's 1533-position model. The record is from RNAcentral. Lineage: Bacteria; Pseudomonadati; Rhodothermota; Rhodothermia; Rhodothermales; Rhodothermaceae.
GACGAACGCUGGCGGCGGGCUUAACACAUGCAAGUCGAACGAACCACGAUCCUACUUCGGUGAGAUUAUUUGGUUAGUGGCGAACGGGUGAGUAACACGUAGGUAACCUGCCCUCGAGUGGGGAAUAACCAUUGGAAACGAUGGCUAAUACCGCAUAAAGUCUCGGUAGCUCCUGCUACCGGGAUGAAAACUUCGGUGCUCGGGGAUGGGCCUGCGGUGGAUUAGGCAGUUGGUGAGGUAACGGCUCACCAAACCCACGAUCCAUAGCUGGUCUGAGAGGAUGAUCAGCCACACUGGCACUGAGACACGGGCCAGACUCCUACGGGAGGCAGCAGUGAGGAAUAUUGGGCAAUGGGCGAAAGCCUGACCCAGCCACGCCGCGUGCAGGAUGACACCCCUAUGGGGCGUAAACUGCUUUUUUAUGGGAAGAACCCUCUCGAUUCGUCGAGAGCUGACGGUACCGUACGAAUAAGGACCGGCUAACUCCG